Leopardus geoffroyi (Geoffroy's cat) is the source of this 120-nucleotide long non-coding RNA. RefSeq lists it as uncharacterized. The record is from RefSeq and is a predicted model, not a curated record. NCBI's taxonomy places the organism in Eukaryota, Metazoa, Chordata, Mammalia, Carnivora, Felidae. The transcript is spliced from 4 exons.
UAAAAAUUGGGCAAAUAAUAUGAAUAAACAUUUCUCCUAAGAAGAUAUGCUAAUUGCCCAUAAGCAUUAGAAAAGAUGCUCAAUAUCAUUAGUCAUUAGGGAAAUGCAAAUCCAAACCAC